Molecule: non-coding RNA, 23 nt
Filed under: Arabidopsis thaliana (thale cress)
Lineage: Eukaryota; Viridiplantae; Streptophyta; Magnoliopsida; Brassicales; Brassicaceae
Source: RNAcentral
GUGUCACGUAAUGGUUGGAAUUA